UAGGGAAUCUUCCGCAAUGGACGAAAGUCUGACGGAGCAACGCCGCGUGAGUGAAGAAGGAUUUCGGUUCGUAAAACUCUGUUGUUAGGGAAGAAAAAAUGUAUAGUAACUAUAUACAAAAGAGACGGUACCUAACCAGAAAGCCACGGCUAACUACGUGCCAGCAGCCGCGGUAAUACGUAGGUGGCAAGCGUUGUCCGGAAUUAUUGGGCGUAAAGCGCGCGCAGGUGGUUUAGAAAGUCUGGUGUGAAAGCCCACGGCUCAACCGUGGAGGGUCAUUGGAAACUAAUAAACUUGAGUGCAGGAGAGAAAAGUGGAAUUCCUAGUGUAGCGGUGAAAUGCGUAGAGAUUAGGAGGAACACCGGUGGCGAAAGCGGCUUUUUGGCCUGCAACUGACACUGAGGGGCGAAAGCGUGGGGAGCAAACAGG
This 429-nucleotide ribosomal RNA is filed under the name Verrucomicrobiota bacterium. RNAcentral describes it as "Verrucomicrobia bacterium partial 16S ribosomal RNA". It matches the Rfam family "Bacterial small subunit ribosomal RNA", at positions 355 to 776 of the family's 1533-position model. Lineage: Bacteria; Pseudomonadati; Verrucomicrobiota. The record is from RNAcentral.